RNAcentral lists this long non-coding RNA (588 nucleotides) under Capra hircus (goat). RNAcentral describes it as "lncRNA (ENSCHIG00010005967.1)". The record is from RNAcentral. Lineage: Eukaryota; Metazoa; Chordata; Mammalia; Artiodactyla; Bovidae.
AUGGGGUUGAAAAGAGUUGGACACAACUGAGCGACUAACAUUCUCACUUUCUCUGUCUGUCUGGGAUUAUUCUCUAGCUGUUUUAGGUGUGAGCAGUUUUCCUCUCCAUUGACUUUGAAGGUGGAAUCAGUGCCUGGCACUUGAUAGAUGGCUCAAAAAUGGAGUGAAUCAAGGAGUGAACAAAUGAAAGUCCGUAAGGCAGAGCACUGGCCUUCUGUUUAUUAUGAACCUCUCGCUGCACUAAGCAGAAGUGUGCUAACACAGUUCAUACUGCCUUUUUUCUUUCAGGCGCUGUGACACUGAUGGCAUGACUGGCCCCCUGAGCACUCCGUCUGUAUCUCUGCCCUUUGCUGGGAAGCUGUGCAGCCUCCACACAGUCUGAUUCUGGGACCCAGAGCUUGCUGUGGCCAACGGGACAGGAACAAACCANNNNAGAGUGCAGCUGUGCGAAACACUUGCCCUCUUUCUCCUCCAUCUCCAGCUCCUGCUUCUUUAUGUGAAUACACCUGGACUAGCCUCCUGGAGGAUGAGAGGCUAUGGAGCUGAAGCAUCAGCCAAGACCCUCGUAAACCAACCAGUCCUCAGCUG